Molecule: long non-coding RNA, 1057 nt
Filed under: Oreochromis niloticus (Nile tilapia)
Lineage: Eukaryota; Metazoa; Chordata; Actinopteri; Cichliformes; Cichlidae
Description: lncRNA (ENSONIG00000028227.1)
Source: RNAcentral
GGGAGAACAGUUUAAAAGCAAAAAAAACCCACGACCUUCAUGGUGAGUAAGUUCCAGUUUCCUUAACUACGAACACGUCCCUAUGUUCAUGGAAUUGCAUAUGUGCACACAUGCCUGAUUUAUGCAUGCAGUUUUGUGUAAACAAGUGGCCACUAUGUUACAGUCCAUAAAUCAGCUUAGUGCACAGAACACCUUCAUGAUAACAGUGGUUUGAUGAUUUACUUUCAGCAGGUAGAAGAGGGCACUUUGAGACAAACUUCCCUUCAGGCUUUCUCCAGGCUGUUCUCAUCUCAAUGUAUGCUCCAGACUGCGAGGAGACAUCAACAGGACCGAUUGUACUGCAGGGAUUGGUGACAUCAUUCAUUCUCGCAGCAAGACCUUUAGAAAGAAGAAACAUCUACUCACAACCGAUCCUUACAGAGAUGGUAAAUGGUCUCCACUGUACACCACCUUUUAACCUUAUGGAUGGAUGAAGAACACCCACUAUGUACCACUGUGUAGUGAAUGGUUAUUACUGAUGACAGACAUGCUUCUUUGAAUCUCUCCGAAUGUGAAGGCUACUAAUUAUACAGCACAUACAUAUUAUGUAAUAGUAAAUAAACAAGCCUUCUAUCUUAAUCUUGACUUCAUGUCCUGUUUGUUAUGUAGCUACAGUGUGAGUUUUAGACAGUGUUCUUUUGUUGGUUGAAGGAGUGUUUGCGCUAAUGUUUUACAUUCAUGGUUCCUCGGUACAAGGUGUGGCUUCUAAAUAAUGGCUUAGAUAAGCCCAGUCUUGUUAUUGAUAGCCACUCCUGUAUUAGUCCUGCAGGUCUGUGUAUGGUCCACACGUAGUCUUGGCUUUUCGUCCGCAAGCAAAUGCAGUUUUAGGUCACUGAAGACAGAUGCCCUUUCAGGGUGAAGCCAUUCAAAAGCUCAGUCGGAUUGAGAAAGUAGGUGGCUGGGAAAGGUGCCAGUGAUUCUGAUUUGCCUGCAUGGUUCUAGGCUUAAAGUUAUAAUGCUGCCCGUUGGCUUGGCAUGCUCUUGACUGCAUGUUCCUGAGUUGUGAUUUUGAGUUUCA